This 497-nucleotide ribosomal RNA is filed under the name uncultured bacterium. RNAcentral describes it as "partial 16S ribosomal RNA". It matches the Rfam family "Bacterial small subunit ribosomal RNA", at positions 28 to 507 of the family's 1533-position model. The record is from RNAcentral.
GAUGAACGCUGGCGGCGUGCCUAAUACAUGCAAGUCGAGCGAACAGACGAGGAGCUUGCUCCUCUGACGUUAGCGGCGGACGGGUGAGUAACACGUGGAUAACCUACCUAUAAGACUGGGAUAACUUCGGGAAACCGGAGCUAAUACCGGAUAAUAUAUUGAACCGCAUGGUUCAAUAGUGAAAGACGGUUUUGCUGUCACUUAUAGAUGGAUCCGCGCCGCAUUAGCUAGUUGGUAAGGUAACGGCUUACCAAGGCGACGAUGCGUAGCCGACCUGAGAGGGUGGUCGGCCACACUGGAACUGAGGCACGGUCCAGACUCCUACGGGAGGCAGCAGUAGGGAAUCUUACGCAAUGGGCGAAAGCCUGACGGAGCAACGCCGCGUGAGUGAUGAAGGUCUUCGGAUCGUAAAACUCUGUUAUUAGGGAAAAACAAAUGUGUAAGUAACUAUGCACGUCUUGACGGUACCUAAUCAGAAAGCCACGGCUAACUACGUG